This 274-nucleotide unclassified non-coding RNA is filed under the name Xylographa sp. RNAcentral's name for it is "partial contains internal transcribed spacer 1". Lineage: Eukaryota; Fungi; Ascomycota; Lecanoromycetes; Baeomycetales; Xylographaceae. The record is from RNAcentral.
AAGUCGUAACAAGGUUUCCUUCCACCGGGCUCGCCCCCGGAGACCUCCCCGCGGCGACUCUAAAACAACCGCGCAGUUUGGGGGAUCAUCCCCCCAAGCCACGCCGUCACUGUGCUGGAAGGUCCCUCCCGGGCCCAACCAGCAGCCGGGCUGCCCCCGCAGCCCCGGUCCACAGAUCAAACGACGGUGGCCGCUUCCCCUGGAAGGCGGUUCUGAUAUGACCGGAGCCCCCGCUGCCACGGCGGGGGAUGCCUCGUCCGUAGGUGAACCUGCG